This 253-nucleotide ribosomal RNA is filed under the name uncultured bacterium. Its description in RNAcentral is "partial 16S ribosomal RNA". It matches the Rfam family "Bacterial small subunit ribosomal RNA", at positions 524 to 776 of the family's 1533-position model. The record is from RNAcentral.
UACAGAGAGGGCAAGCGUUGUCCGGAAUGACUGGGCGUAAAGAGCGCGUAGGCGGUUUUUUAAGUUGGAUGUGAAAUCCCUGGGCUUAACCUAGGAACUGCAUUCAAUACUGGGGAACUAGAGGAUGAGAGAGGAAAGUGGAAUGACGAGUGUAGAGGUGAAAUUCGUAGAUAUUCGUCGGAACACCAGAGGCGAAGGCGGCUUUCUGGCUCAUACCUGACGCUGAGGCGCGAAAGCGUGGGGAGCAAACAGG